UACGUAGGGUGCGAGCGUUGUCCGGAAUUAUUGGGCGUAAAGAGCUCGUAGGUGGUUUUUCGCGUUGUCCGUGAAAACUCACAGCUCAACUGUGGGCGUGCGGGCGAUACGGGCAGACUGGAGUACUGCAGGGGAGACUGGAAUUCCUGGUGUAGCGGUGGAAUGCGCAGAUAUCAGGAGGAACACCGGUGGCGAAGGCGGGUCUCUGGGCAGUAACUGACGCUGAGGAGCGAAAGCGUGGGGAGCGAACAGG
RNAcentral lists this ribosomal RNA (253 nucleotides) under uncultured bacterium. RNAcentral describes it as "partial 16S ribosomal RNA". It matches the Rfam family "Bacterial small subunit ribosomal RNA", at positions 524 to 776 of the family's 1533-position model. The record is from RNAcentral.